This 343-nucleotide ribosomal RNA is filed under the name uncultured eukaryote. Its description in RNAcentral is "SSU rRNA". It matches the Rfam family "Eukaryotic small subunit ribosomal RNA", at positions 594 to 939 of the family's 1831-position model. The record is from RNAcentral.
AUAGCGUAUACUAAAGUUGUUGUGGUUAAAAAGCUCGUAGUUGGAUCUCAGUUCUAGUCAGGCGGUCCACUUGCCAGUGGUUACUGCCUGGCUGAACACUUUAUCGACUCUGUCUACGGUACUCUUAACCGAGCGUCGUAGGCGAUCGAUACGUUUACUUUGAAAAAAUUAGAGUGCUCAAAGCAGGCUUUAAAAGCCCGAAUAAUGUUGCAUGGAAUAAUGGAAUAGGACCUCGGUUCUAUUUUGUUGGUCUUCGGAAUCCGAGGUAAUGAUUAAGAGGGACAGACGGGGGCAUUCGUAUUGCGACGCUAGAGGUGAAAUUCUUGGACCGUUGCAAGACGAA